GGCGUGCACUUUAAGCCAAUCCUGUAAUCAGCUAGUACCACUGCUUUAGCGAAUCUUUCAGUUAAUCCAUUUACAAAAUUGCCCGAGCAAGCCCUCCCAUUUUAGAACAUACACGUGACAAAAGUCUACUGAAGCGUUUUGAAUAGGUACGAUAGAUGCGUGUGGAUCCGAUUAGGACACUUGUUGCGCUUUCUCUUGGAUACAGUCUAAGCUUAAGCAGAAUUUCGAAACGGACCCCGCCGGCCCGGAGUGUUGUUCUAUCACGAUUUCAAGAUAGGAUGAUCAGACUCGAUUCAUUGCGGAUCUGCCUCCGAACAACCCUGUAGCCUUAUGGCACUGUGUUUCUAACAUUUGUUCCAUUGUGGCACACAUACAACACUAAGUAAACGGCAAAUGUGAGUCAUAGUGGAAAGUUUCCACGAUCAUUUAUUUGAAGGAAAAAAGGAAGCUGAGACCUAGUUCCGGUUUGCGUAUAUUUCGAGGAACCUUACUGCACAGUUCACGUAUUGACAAUGCAAGUGUUCAUAUAAUUUGCUUCUUUUGUUGGCACGAAGGGAAAUUGCUAAUGUUAUAUUACAUCAUUAACGUCUGGUAUACUCAACGGACUGUUUCGAAUUCGUAACCGUGUGCCUGGGAGUGAUAGGGCCAGUAUUGUCAUAAUGGAACCUCGCGUUUUGGAGCUUCUAAUUGCGGCCUUGUCAAAGGAUCCCCUGUGGUUUGCUAUCUACUCAAGCUCCAUAUUAAUUCUUUUCUCGCUUAUCGUGGGCUGUCAGACAAUAAUUCGCCUCACGCUUUUCAUAUGCGUCUUGCCGUCAUUGCGUUCCCUCAGGACGGGCCAGGAUGAUGCGUUCUGGACCAGGUACUGGAUGGUCGUAGGGCUGGCAAGCAAUCUUGGCCUCCCCUCAGUUGUUCGAGCGGCCCUAUUCAUCUGGUGCGCAGUUCCGCAUAAUGCCAAUGGAACCGAUAUGAUCUUCAACCUUGCCGAAAAAACCUUUAUCUAAAAAAUCCUUGCCAUAUUAAUUUGCCAUAAGCAUCGUGACAAACACAUAUAUAUGAAAAAUACAGAGGCAAGAAUGUUAAGUACACGCACAUUUGGAAUGCUUUACGAUGUACGGUUGUGGAGUUUUUUUAAACCAUACUAUUAAACCAUAAGGUGUGCGCACUUGACUUCAUAGCCUAGCAACUUUCAAAAAAGGCAGUGUUUAGACACAUGAAAACUUAUGAAAACGAACGGGUCCAAAUACUAAGUCAUUUAGAAAUUCAAGAGUUCCGUUCAAAGUCAAUCUUCAAGGCUUUACAUAAGCCUUUUAUAAGUAUUUUUUAAAAACUUUAACUGUAAAAUGUAGAAUUUUAGAUUCAAAACGAUAAUAUGACCAAUAUUGUCAUAAAUUUCGUAGCUCCCUAAUGUUAUACGCAAUAAAAUUAGCUUGACAACAUGUUGAUUCAGUUAAAUAGCUGUCUGAGCAUGCUAAACGAAAACAGCUACUUACAGUAUAGCAUUCUGUCAUUUAGUGAGUUCUUAUUAAAUGCCUUUGUUUCGUGAGAUUUUCAAUGAGCGAUA
Long non-coding RNA from Varroa destructor (honeybee mite), 1561 nucleotides. Lineage: Eukaryota; Metazoa; Arthropoda; Arachnida; Mesostigmata; Varroidae. The record is from RefSeq and is a predicted model, not a curated record.